AAAUGCGAUAAGUAAUGUGAAUUGCAGAAUUCAGUGAAUCAUCGAAUCUUUGAACGCACAUUGCGCCCCCUGGUAUUCCGGGGGGCAUGCCCGUUCGAGCGUCAUUUCACCACUCAAGCCUCGCUUGGUAUUGGGCGACGCGGUCCGCCGCGCGCCUCAAAUCGACCGGCUGGGUCUUUCGUCCCCUCAGCGUUGUGGAAACUAUUCGCUAAAGGGUGCCGCGGGAGGCCACGCCGUAAAACAACCCCAUUUCUAAGGUUGACCUCGGAUCAGGUAGGGAUACCCGCUGAACUUAAGC
Molecule: unclassified non-coding RNA, 298 nt
Filed under: plant metagenome
Description: partial contains 5.8S ribosomal RNA, internal transcribed spacer 2, and large subunit ribosomal RNA
Rfam family: 5.8S ribosomal RNA (bases 1-104)
Source: RNAcentral